This 253-nucleotide ribosomal RNA is filed under the name uncultured Lachnospiraceae bacterium. Its description in RNAcentral is "partial 16S ribosomal RNA". It matches the Rfam family "Bacterial small subunit ribosomal RNA", at positions 524 to 776 of the family's 1533-position model. Lineage: Bacteria; Bacillati; Bacillota; Clostridia; Lachnospirales; Lachnospiraceae. The record is from RNAcentral.
UACGUAGGGGGCAAGCGUUAUCCGGAUUUACUGGGUGUAAAGGGAGCGCAGACGGCAGUGCAAGUCUGGAGUGAAAGCCCGGGGCCCAACCCCGGAACUGCUCUGGAAACUGUGCGGCUAGAGUACUGGAGGGGCAGGCGGAAUUCCUAGUGUAGCGGUGAAAUGCAUAGAUAUCACGCAGAACCCCGAUUGCGAAGGCAGCAUACCGGUGCACAACUGACGCUCAGGCACGAAAGCGUGGGUAUCGAACAGG